AAAUGAACUGAAAAUUUAUUUUCAAUAUGAAAAAUGUAUUUCUGUUUGUUUGGUUCGAUGUAAAAAUAUUUUUCCAUAAAAGUAUUUUUAUUGAUUUGGAAAAAAAUUGAAAUUUUCGUUUUCUGUUGUUUUUCGACAGAAAACGAAAACUCAAGCGGUGUAAAAGAUUUUUCAUUUAUUUUUUUUCCACCAAACUAAACAACUGUAAAUUUUUUUUUCAACUAAACAAAUAUCGAUAAAAAAUUACUUUUUUUUCUACAAAACGUAAAAUUAUUUUUCAGCCAAAAAAAUUUUUCCAUUAAAAAAUCAUCUCUCAUGAUUUUAUGUUGAACUAAACAGAUCCCUGCGUAUGGAAACAAAGGAGGGAACAAGGGCUUAUUCUCUCCCUUGUUCCCGAACCAAACGCUACCUAAGUAGUUCCCAUUCAAUCCUUUUAAAAAAUUAAUCACCAACGAAA
Molecule: long non-coding RNA, 457 nt
Filed under: Ananas comosus (pineapple)
Lineage: Eukaryota; Viridiplantae; Streptophyta; Magnoliopsida; Poales; Bromeliaceae
Description: long non-coding RNA (ACOM_LNC004234)
Source: RNAcentral